AACGCGAAGAACCUUACCCAGACUUGACAUGCACUGGACCGCAUCAGAAAUGAUGCUUCUCUUCGGAGCCGGUGCACAGGUGCUGCAUGGCUGUCGUCAGCUCGUGCCGUGAGGUGUUUGGUUAAGUCCAGCAACGAGCGCAACCCUUAUCAUUAGUUGCCAACAUUUAAGGUGGGAACUCUAAUGAGACUGCCUGGGUUAACCAGGAGGAAGGUGAGGAUGACGUCAAGUCCGCAUGGCCCUUAUGUCUGGGGCUACACACGUGCUACAAUGGUCGGUACAGAAGGCAGCGAAACCGCGAGGUGAAGCAAAUCCCCAAAGCCGGCCUCAGUUCAGAUUGUAGUCUGCAACUCGACUACAUGAAGACGGAAUUGCUAGUAAUGGCGUGUCAGCAACAACGCCGUGAAUACGUUCCCGGGCCUUGUA
This 426-nucleotide ribosomal RNA is filed under the name uncultured Chlamydiae bacterium. Its description in RNAcentral is "bacterial SSU rRNA". It matches the Rfam family "Bacterial small subunit ribosomal RNA", at positions 958 to 1385 of the family's 1533-position model. Lineage: Bacteria; Pseudomonadati; Chlamydiota; Chlamydiia. The record is from RNAcentral.